This 164-nucleotide ribosomal RNA is filed under the name uncultured bacterium. RNAcentral describes it as "partial 16S rRNA". It matches the Rfam family "Bacterial small subunit ribosomal RNA", at positions 355 to 511 of the family's 1533-position model. The record is from RNAcentral.
UAGGGAAUCUUCCACAAUGGACGCAAGUCCGAUGGAGCAACGCCGCGUGAGUGAAGAAGGGUUUCGGCUCGUAAAGCUCUGUUGUUAAAGAAGAACGUGGGUAAGAGUAACUGUUUACCCAGUGACGGUAUUUAACCAGAAAGCCACGGCUAACCACGUGCCAG